UACGGAGGGUGCAAGCGUUAAUCGGAAUUACUGGGCGUAAAGAGUACGUAGGCGGCUUUACAAGUCGGGUGUGAAAGCCCUGAGCUUAACUCAGGAACUGCAUUCGAUACUGUAUCGCUAGAGUUUAUUAGAGGAUAGCGGAAUUCCAGGUGUAGCGGUGAAAUGCGUUGAUAUCAUACGGAACACCAAGGGGGAAGCCAGCUACCUGGGAUUUACCUGACGCUGAGAGACGAAAGCGUGGGGAGCGAAACGG
RNAcentral lists this ribosomal RNA (253 nucleotides) under uncultured bacterium. Its description in RNAcentral is "partial 16S ribosomal RNA". It matches the Rfam family "Bacterial small subunit ribosomal RNA", at positions 524 to 776 of the family's 1533-position model. The record is from RNAcentral.